CGAGAGCCGAAGGAGAGGAAAGAAGCAAGCGAUUGCCGAACAAGCAAGUUAAGCUCCUUAGCGUCGAUGGUAGUCGAACUUACGUUCCGCUAGAGUAGAACGUUGCCAGGCA
RNAcentral lists this ribosomal RNA (112 nucleotides) under Staphylococcus aureus LysK 1 2011. The record is from RNAcentral. Lineage: Bacteria; Bacillati; Bacillota; Bacilli; Caryophanales; Staphylococcaceae.